This 523-nucleotide ribosomal RNA is filed under the name Thalassocyon tui. Its description in RNAcentral is "partial 12S ribosomal RNA". Lineage: Eukaryota; Metazoa; Mollusca; Gastropoda; Littorinimorpha; Ficidae. The record is from RNAcentral.
AGGGAUUAAGUUAUACACAUUGAGGUAAAAAGGCAGUUAAAUACUUAAAUUACUAGUUUAUUAAUUUUUAUAUAUAAAAGUAAAAUUUGAACAUAAAUAAAUAAUUUAAUUUAAGCUAUUAUAUUGACUCUGCGACAUCCUUGAGGGAAACUGGGAUUAGAUACCCCAUUAUUCSCCAGAGUACUAUGAAUUGUAUAAUGAAAUUUAAAACUCAAAGGGCUUGGCGGUGUUUUAGACCUCUCAGGGGAACCUGUCUCAUAAUCGACAGUCCACGUUAAACCUUACCUUUUUUUGCGAUCAGUAUGUAUACCGUUGUCGUCAGGUAACUUUUUAGAAACUAGAAGUUAGCGACAAAAUUAUAAUAAAUUAAGACGUCAGAUCAAGGUGCAACCUAUAAAAAGGUGAAGAUGGGUUACAAUUAUAAAUUAUAAUUACGGAUGAUUAAUGAAAUUUAUAUCAUGAAGGAGGACUUGAAAGUAAAAAGAAAUUAUAUAAAUAACUUGAAUAAGGCUCUGAAACAUGC